This 74-nucleotide transfer RNA is filed under the name bacterium. RNAcentral's name for it is "tRNA-His". It matches the Rfam family "tRNA". From Rfam's summary of the family: Transfer RNA (tRNA) molecules are approximately 80 nucleotides in length. RNAcentral also lists the same sequence under 3 other names. The record is from RNAcentral.
GUGAGUGUAGCUCAGUUGGUUAGAGCGCCAGAUUGUGGUUCUGGUGGUCGGGGGUUCAAAUCCCCUCACUCACC